This 453-nucleotide long non-coding RNA is filed under the name Numida meleagris (helmeted guineafowl). RNAcentral describes it as "lncRNA (ENSNMEG00000006517.1)". Lineage: Eukaryota; Metazoa; Chordata; Aves; Galliformes; Numididae. The record is from RNAcentral.
AGGUCCCAUGGGGUGGUGGGAUCUCAUGGGGUGGUGGGGUGGUGGGUCUCCCAGGGGUGGUGGGAUUUGGGAUGGUGGGAUCCCAUGGGGUGGUGGGAUUUGGGGUGGUGGGAUCCCAUGGGGUGGUGAGAUGCUGGGGUGGUGGGUCUCCAUGGGGUGGUGGGAUCCCAUGGGGUGGUGGGAUCCCAUGGGGUGGUGAGAUGUUGGGGUUGUGGGUCUCCAUGGGGUGGUGGGAUUUGGGGUGGUGGGUCUCCAUGGGGUGGUGGAUUUGGGGUGGUGGGAUCCCAUGGGGUGGUGAGAUGUUGGGGUUGUGGGUCUCCAUGGGGUGGUGGGAUUUGGCGUGGUGGGUCUCCAUGGGGUGGUGGAUCUCCAUGGGGUGGUGGUCUCCAUGGGGUGGUGGAUCUCUAUGGGGUGGUGGUCUCCAUGGGGUGGUGGAUCUCUAUGGGGUGGUGG